This 353-nucleotide transfer-messenger RNA is filed under the name Pelagibacterium lacus. RNAcentral describes it as "Alphaproteobacteria transfer-messenger RNA". It matches the Rfam family "Alphaproteobacteria transfer-messenger RNA". Rfam says of the family: Bacterial tmRNA, also known as 10Sa RNA or SsrA, is named for its dual tRNA and mRNA-like properties. Its role is to liberate the mRNA from a stalled ribosome. Lineage: Bacteria; Pseudomonadati; Pseudomonadota; Alphaproteobacteria; Hyphomicrobiales; Devosiaceae. The record is from Rfam by way of RNAcentral.
GCCCUUUAUUUCUCCGCCACGCCCUCCUAUAUUAGGCGUGCUGGCAACGGCUAUGGCGAUAAACUGUCAUCGUAAUAAACCCAUCGGACCCGGGGGCAGUACCCGGCGCCUCCACCAAAACCCUCUUUUUCCAGAGGACCUUAUGGGGGCGAAACAGGAUCGACGAGGGCGUAAAGGGUGAGCUUUCGCUCGGCAUUGUACCACCGUUAUCGGGCUAACCUUAUAGUUGCAAACGACAACUAUGCUGAGGCACGUCUCGCUGCGUAAGCAGUGCGAUACCUCGAACUAAAGCCCUGAUUCUGUAGCAGGGAUCAGGCGGGGUCCGCAGGCACCUGGCAACAGAAGCCUGCAUC